Molecule: ribosomal RNA, 116 nt
Filed under: uncultured bacterium
Lineage: Bacteria
Description: partial 16S ribosomal RNA
Rfam family: Bacterial small subunit ribosomal RNA
Source: RNAcentral
CUACGGUGGAUACGUUCCCGGACCUUGUACACACCGCCCGUCAAGCCAUGGAAGCUGGGUGUACCUAAAGUCGAUAACCGUAAGGAGUCGCCUAGGGUAAAACUAGUAACUGGGCU